GUGGGGAAUAUUGGGCAAUGGGGGAAACCCUGACCCAGCGACGCCGCGUGAGGGAAGAAGGCCUUAGGGUCGUAAACCUCUGUUGUGUGGGAAGAAGAGCGUGACGGUACCACACGAGGAAGUCCCGGCUAACUACGUGCCAGCAGCCGCGGUAAUACGUAGGGGACGAGCGUUGUCCGGAUUUACUGGGCGUAAAGGGCGCGUAGGCGGUCAUUUAAGUCAGCUGUGAAAUGGUUUGGCUUAACCGGAUCAUGCGGUUGAAACUGGAUGACUGGAGUGCUGGAGAGGAAAGUGGAAUUCCAAGUGUAGCGGUGAAAUGCGUAGAUAUUAGGAAGAACACCAGUGGCGAAGGCGACUUUCUGGACGAAAACUGACGCUGAGGCGCGAAAGCCAGGGGAGCGAACGGGAUUAGAAACCCUAGUAGUCC
Molecule: ribosomal RNA, 427 nt
Filed under: uncultured bacterium
Lineage: Bacteria
Description: partial 16S ribosomal RNA
Rfam family: Bacterial small subunit ribosomal RNA
Source: RNAcentral